AAAUUGAAGAGUUUGAUCAUGGCUCAGAUUGAACGCUGGCGGCAGGCCUAACACAUGCAAGUCGAACGGUAGCACAGAGAGCUUGCUCUCGGGUGACGAGUGGCGGACGGGUGAGUAACGUCUGGGAAACUGCCCGAUGGAGGGGGAUAACUACUGGAAACGGUAGCUAAUACCGCAUAACGUCGCAAGACCAAAGUGGGGGACCUUCGGGCCUCACACCAUCGGAUGUGCCCAGAUGGGAUUAGCUAGUAGGUGGGGUAAUGGCUCACCUAGGCGACGAUCCCUAGCUGGUCUGAGAGGAUGACCAGCCACACUGGAACUGAGACACGGUCCAGACUCCUACGGGAGGCAGCAGUGGGGAAUAUUGCACAAUGGGCGCAAGCCUGAUGCAGCCAUGCCGCGUGUAUGAAGAAGGCCUUCGGGUUGUAAAGUACUUUCAGCGGGGAGGAAGGCGGUG
Molecule: ribosomal RNA, 457 nt
Filed under: Pantoea sp. PNT03
Lineage: Bacteria; Pseudomonadati; Pseudomonadota; Gammaproteobacteria; Enterobacterales; Erwiniaceae
Description: bacterial SSU rRNA
Rfam family: Bacterial small subunit ribosomal RNA
Source: RNAcentral